RNA transcript from Rhagoletis zephyria (snowberry fruit fly), 6887 nucleotides. It is a transcript of the gene named serine-rich adhesin for platelets, with no coding region annotated. The record is from RefSeq and is a predicted model, not a curated record. Lineage: Eukaryota; Metazoa; Arthropoda; Insecta; Diptera; Tephritidae.
CGUGCAAAAUUUAAAUACGAAAUCGAUAAAAAUAAAGAUAAAUAAAAUCGCCCAACAUUACGUGUAUGUGGUGUGUGAAUAUGUGGCGCCGCACAGGCGCACACCAAAGUGCAAAGUGUAAUUGUGGUUCAGUAAAAUUAAAUACCAGACUGUGUAGCCAAAAAGAAUAAAAAAUAUGCAAGCUUCAAAGCAAUAAUUGUGCAUAAUUAAAGUUUUCUAAGUGCAAACAAAUUGGCGCUAAAACAAUGCCGCUGAAUAAAAUGCAGCGCAAGCCUUCCAACGAAACACUCGCCAGCCUAGCGUUUGACAGCACGCUAGACUCGCGCAUGUCCAGCGCGGAAAUACCGCAAAUGGAGCUGCUGAAAGUCAACUAUGUGCAGCAGUGCAAGGAAGUGCGCAUGCCGCGUCCUAUCUCCGCAACACAGCAGCAGCGGCAGUCAUUUAUAGCUCAGAACGGCACGAAAUAUCCCGGCUAUAAGCAAGCGGUUACCGCAAGCAGUCAUAGCCAAUUCGCCAAUGGUGCCAAGUUGAACAUCGCCAAUGGAGGCAAAGUGCAGCCCCCUACUGACCAUCAGCGCGUUGCACCCUCUAAGGGCAAGUUGGUGCGCGGCACACAACAACCGCUACCGCCGCCCACGGUGGAGUCAUGGAAAUUUCUGCAGCAUCAGCUGCCACAAGUAAAGCCGCAAGAGCUUCGUUUGCCACUCAUGCGCGCCAAGUCCGCUUCUGCCGUAGUUGCUGCGGCCACCGCCACUGCUGACGCCGACGAACGAGAUUACGCUGAUGCACGUUCGUGCUGCAAUUCCUCCUGCGAUUCUGCUACACACUCAUCCGACUCAUCAGAUGACGAUGAUGGCAUCUCCACUGUUUACCCGGAUUGCGAGAAAUCGCACAGCUGGAAUUAUCGUGCGCGCAUUUCCACUUGCGAUGUACGACGCGAUAUUGCACGCGCUGGCAUUAAGUCGCGCGCUGAUCGCAUAGCGCGCAUUGAGCAGACGGACUGCGAUCAUCAGCAGCAACGGCCUAAGGCGACAAGUAACGCAGCAUCAAAUGCUAAACGUGCAUCUUUGCCAGCUACUUUGAGGGUAGAUAGUAGCGCGCAAAUGCCAGCAGUAGUUUCGCAAAUCAAUCGACUCUUUGAGCAAGCCAAGCGUCCGGAGCAGCGACGCUCCACGAAACAGCAUCGCGCGCCUGCGCCGCCGCUAUCACAGGAUGCAGUAUUAACAGCAUUUACACCACAAAGUGCAUCUAACGCACGAGCACGGCCGCCUGCGCAGCCGCUACGCCCAGCACCAAUACCCAAAAAAGAGCCCAACAUGCGCAUGCGCGGCGCGCGCGAAAUGCUGCCCAGCAUAGAGGAACGUACGAAACGUUUGAGCAACUCAAGCGCACCUGCAGACUGCCGCGAUUGUAUUCUGGAGAGUAGCGCCAAUGCGAGCGAAGUUCGAAACAUGCGCUGCGCAGUAAAUGAGGCACGCUUCACACGCUCAUCGCCUGAGCAAAGACAACAAGUGUCGCGCAUACCAAAGCCCAUAAGCGAGCCACAGCAGCAACAUCGACACUCCACCAGCUCGGCGCAGGUAUACAGCGAAGCGAAUGAGCAGCUGCAGCGACGCAUACGUCAGCUUUUCGAUCCUGAGCAGGAACGCAAGCAGCAGCUGCAGCGGCAGGUUACAGACGAGUUUCGCAUGCAGUGCGCUGCCGAGAAAAUAAAACUACGCGCCACCAAAUCAACGGCGUUUGAGGAGCCGGAUAAGUCCAAGCGCGGUAGCGCUGAUGCAGACGCGCAAAGCUGCGAUGAGCUGGAUAAACUUUUGCCAAAACAAGUGCGUCAGCCUGCAGCGGCGAGUUUUCAGAAAAUUAAAAUGGAGCGCGUGCACAUACGCAAGAAGCGACAGCCGCUGCUCAUAAUCAAUCAACUUAACGAGGGCAAGCCGGCAAAUAAUGAUAAAGUGAAGGAAGAAAGCGAGCCACUGAGGACGACGAAAUGUUGUGCCACGCCGCAUAAGGUGUCAAAGGAAGCCGCGCAUAGGUCAGCUCCGGACGGCAGCCGACGCACCUGUGGCUACAAGAACUGCAACUACACUAAUUGUCCCAUGUCGGCGACCAGCAAUGCAGGCAGCAGCAGCGGCGUCAGCACACCGCACAACUCCGAUGAGGAGCUGAGCGCGCGCAAGCGUCUGUCGCUCGAGAGCUGCUGCUCCGAUUCCGGCGUGUCAUCGUCCACAGAUCUGAAGGAGCGCCAUACCAAUCAGAAUAAUAUGAAGAACCUGGAGAAGUGUGCGGACUGUGUGAAAAUUCUGCUCAACCAAGCGGGCGCGGAGUCAACCGUAAUGCAACACUGUCUCAAACUUACGCCUACCGCUGCGGUCGCUGCUGCGACGCCCAAGUUGAAGGAGCUGGACGCUGAUGUGGCAAAAGGGGGACAAAUUAAAAUACGCGUUGGGAAAGCGCCUGGCGGCGAUCCAAAUGAUGUGCAAAAUUUCGCAAAAAAAAGUCUUAUUAAGGCCACUACGGAUGAGUUAUUGACGGCGGCGGUGCAAGCAGCAAAAAACAACACCAGCAACAAAGUAGGCGCGGCAGUGGAUAAGUUGUCUAACCGGACAGCCAAGGCAAGCGCCAGCAACAGCACCAAACAGUGCAACAUCGAAAAUGACCUAAAAAAUAAUGAACAACGCAUUUACAACAACACAAAUUGCAACAGCAGCAGCCACAACAACAAUAAAGACAGCAAUAGAAGCGCCAGCGAGCAGAUACCGUUAUGCGCCACAACAAUAAAAAUCGAUGACGAUUGGUUACCCGAGCAAAACGGCUGUGAUGCCGACUCGUUGAUGGUGCCACCGUCGCCCCCGCUGCGCACCUCAUCCAAACACGCACCGCAUGCACGCCAACAAUUUCACAACAGCAACAAUGACAAUAAACAUGGCAACAGCACUGCCGGCAGCUCCGAAAGUGACAAGCACAGUGUGAAGAUUUUCGUGCGUAGCUCAGCAUCCAGCAGCGGCGGCGGCGGCGGCGGUGUGGGCGGCAAUCAAUCGCGCGCUUCGCUAAUUUCUAUGUGCUCAUACACUUCCCAAGCUUCAGGUUGUUCGUCGAAUUCAGAAGCUUCCGCGUUGACAAACGCCAGCAAAACGUCCGCAUCCGGUAGCUCCUACACAACAAUUUCGAGUAGCGCUUCGAGCAGUGGCGAAGCAGGUAAAUGCAAUUGCCAGCGGGGCAGAAGUGUCAACACAGCUACACAUAAAGAAGAAGACGAGGAAAUGGCUGGCGAAACAGAGGACACAGAUGACUAUUGCAGCCUGCGUCGCAUGACCAAAUCGGGUAUUUUCUACAAUCGCGCUGCAGACAGAGAAGGUACCGAAAACGAUACGCUACGCGUAUGCGCUGCAUCGCCGACACCAUCGGCGGACACCUUCAACGAAAUCAGCUGUGUCGCAUGCGGCGAAGAAGCGAAAUGCUGCCAAGCUAGUAUCAGCAGCGGGACGAUUGGUGGUGUGUUUUUGAACAACUCUUACUUUCAACAAGAAGCCGAGCUGGUGACGGCGGACGCUAGCAAGUCGACCCAUAAGAACGGAUCUGAGUUGAAGGCGCGUACGCCAAUCGACAAAAUCGAGGGCCAUUGCGAUGAUAAUGAACAAUGUUGCUGCAGUUUGACCAGCUGUGACGAUGACAAUUGCUCUUAUUAUGAAUGUGGCGGCAGCGGCGGUGACGGCAGCAGCGCUGGUGAGCCCCAAACUGACGAUGAUCAUUGCGUAUCGCGUAUUGAGGUGCAUGCAAGCGUACACACGCCCAGCAGUAGUAGCGGCAGCAACGGCAGCGGUUGCAGCAAAAUUGAAGGCAGCGAUAAGCGUGGCGCCGAUAACAGCCUUGCGGUGACUAGUAAGAACAAAAGCGCCGAUUGUGAAUGUGUGCAGCACCACUGUCGCGCAGCGGCAAAUUCUACUUCCAAGGACAGCAAUGCGCUUGAGGCAGAGCGUCAGCACGUGCGCGAGCGUGAGCGCUGUGCAGCGCGUCAACAACAGCAACUAGAACAGCAGUGGCUGUGUCAGCGCAUGAGCGAACGUGAACGCGAUCGGCAAAUGCAGUUUGUGCGAAAUAGCAGCGCAGAGGAGAUUUUAAUACGUAAUAAACACUUUUUGAGGAAGGCUGACCUCAUACAUGAACUGCGACCAAGAUCAAUGGAUGGUGUCAUUGACUCAUCAUCUGGGUCAUUAAAUGGUGACACUAACCGUUCGAGUCCAGAUAGCGGAAAUCAUAUACAAAAUCAGCAGGACGCUGAAGCGCGACGUAUACACCGAGGACACGUACUCACCGAACUGCUCGAGACAGAACGGAUUUAUGUGAAUGAAAUGGCCUCUAUUUUAAAGGGCUAUCGUGAUCAAAUGCUAUCUGAAGAAAUGAUGCAUCUUGUACCCGCCAGUCUGCAAGGUAAAGAGGAUAUUUUAUUCGGCAAUUUACACGAAUUGUAUACAUUUCACAAUGAGAUCUUUCUGAAAGAUCUGGAAAAUUGUAUAUCUACGACAGAAUUGGUGGCGCUGUGUUUUGUGCAAAGGCGCGACACCUUCUAUCGUUUAUACUCCUUCUACUGCCAAAAUAUACCACGCUCCGAUCGGCUGCGUGAAACGCUCGUCGAUACACAUCUCUUCCUGCAAGAAUGCCAAAAGCGUUUGGGUCACAAGCUACCACUGGGCGCAUAUCUGCUGAAGCCAGUGCAACGCAUUACCAAGUACAAAUUGCUGCUCGAAAAUCUGCUGGGGUCCAGCGAUAGCGGCAGCUGUACCAAAGAAUUACAAAAGGCUUUAGAUUGUAUGCUAAUCGUGCUGCGUUGUGUGAACGAUUCGAUGCAUCAAGUGGCUAUAACGGGAUUUCCGAGCAAUCUUUCGCAACAAGGCGAACUACUGCUGCAGGAUCCCUUCCAGGUGUGGACGGAGUCAAAGAAGGAUUUGCGACUGCGCAAAAAACCGCAGCAGCGACAUAUUUUCCUUUACCAAAAAUCUAUGAUUUUCUGUAAGAAAACCUCGAAGCCUGGACACAACAAGAGCACCUAUCAGUUUAAGCAUCAGCUGAAGUUGUCACAAAUCGGCCUCACCGAAUCGGUACGCGGCGAUUCAACGCGCUUCGAAGUCUGGCUACAGGGACGCCAAGAAGUGCAUACACUGCAGGCGCCCACCGAGGAGGUGAAAAAUAAAUGGGUCACUGAAAUUAAGCGACUGCUGCUCAAUCAACUGGAAGAGCUGAAAGGCGAAAAGAUCAAACAGUAUGGCAUGAAUCAUCAUGGCCUGCGGCAGACAACCUCAUGGGAUACGCCAAAUAUUCUGUUGGGCAUGCCACAACGCGCUGUGAGCUGUGAUGCAUCCUCCGAGUCUUCAAAUCGCAAUUCGAAUUGCAGCAGCAGUGGCGAUGAUGUUUACCCGCAUGGCAUGCCACCACCACUCUCGACGGUGACAGGCAAUGGGCAUGCGCAUGGCAAUAGCGCUAGUGGUGUUGGUGGUGACAAAGAGCAACAAGAGGCAUGCGGCUGGAGCUCGGAUUACUCGAAUAGUGAGGAUGAAAUGUCGAUCAUCGAAGACAACAGCGCGCCGCGUUUCAUGAAUUUUCUGGCCCAGUGGACCUACAAUUCUGAUGGUAAUGGUAGUGGCUCUUAUCCGCGUAACAGCAAAUCCAAUUCGAAAUUCUAUGUCUCCGUGGAGCAUUGAGCAGUUAAGCAAGCGUUAAAACGACAAAAAUAAUGGAAGUAAUAUACCCCCUUCACAGAGAAAAAAAAAAAUCGAAAAAUGUACGAAAUACCAAAAAGUUAGUGAAAAAUCAAAACGAAAUCGCCGACCGCUUAAUUUAUAGUACAAAAUAAUAUUUAGUCACGUAAACGACACGCAGUAAAAACUUAAAAGCACGCAAAUUUUAAAAUAUGCUAUAGCAGUACUCAUAGCGAUUACAGCUUAGUGCAACAGAUCAUCAGUCGAGUACAGAAUUGAGUAUUUAGUCCAAAAAUGUAUUUGUAGCGCUAACGAAUUACAUAUGUAAAUAUUUUAUAGUAAAGUGAGACAAGUAAAAAAAACAAAAAAUUCACUAUAAAAGUGCAUCGUUAUUUAAAGCAUUAAAAAGUAAACAUCUUCACUGCCAAUCAUCUAUAAAAGCCAAUAUCACGCAUUUUACGCUCUUCAGUCAUGCUCAAGACUCGAUUGUUGGACUUAAAAUUCUACAACAAAAGACAAUCGAAUGCACUAAGAAUCAAACUUUCCUCCUUAAAACUCGUCUAUAUCCUUAAUAUCCACAGUCAGCACUAACUUUUUACACUACCAAAAAGACGACACUAUAUUUUGUCUCGCUCGCACACCGAACACAUGCCAACCAACCCCCCUUUUGUUGUGCGUCUCCAUUUCACUAAUUUCUGUUUCUUUUCUUCCCGCUGCUUCCUUUCAAUUCACAUUCGUGCCUGUCAAACUUUUGUCUCUUUUACACCUGCUCGUCUCAUGCAUAUGCUUGCUUGUAUGUGUGCGUAUUUGCGCGUCUCUUCAUAUAGACUUGCGCGAUGUACAAACGUCUGCAAUAAAAUUCCUGCCAGUCGUCUGACUCAUUCUGAAUCAUGCUCUCGCUGUCACACUCUCUCUCUCUCUCUUGCUUCCUCGACCGACAUGCCACCGAUUGUGAUCGUAAUCGUUCAUCAUGCAUACAUAAGUACGUGUCGUCAUCAAGCGUUAAUCCCUUAUUCAUCAUUUGCAUAAUUCAAUGAAUAACGUUACAUAAAUCUGCGUGUAAAAAGCGGCUUCAAAUGGAGGCAGUCUGUCGAAAAAGAUUUGCAAGCCAAUGCAGAGGGUUGGACACCAGCGGCAUAUUUGGAACCGCUCAAUCGAAAAUCUUCUCGAAGCUCGAGCCGCAAUCAGGAGCGA